This 72-nucleotide transfer RNA is filed under the name Phrynosoma platyrhinos (Desert horned lizard). Its description in RNAcentral is "tRNA-OTHER". It matches the Rfam family "tRNA". Rfam says of the family: Transfer RNA (tRNA) molecules are approximately 80 nucleotides in length. The record is from RNAcentral. Lineage: Eukaryota; Metazoa; Chordata; Lepidosauria; Squamata; Phrynosomatidae.
GCCAGUGGGGUGUAGUGGUUUGAACGUUGGAUUACAACUCUGGAGACCAGGGUUUGAAUCCCUGCUCAGCCG